Molecule: long non-coding RNA, 5212 nt
Filed under: Zea mays
Lineage: Eukaryota; Viridiplantae; Streptophyta; Magnoliopsida; Poales; Poaceae
Description: long non-coding RNA (ZMAY_LNC003790)
Source: RNAcentral
CACAUGAGCUCCCACCUUUGGCGAGUUCAUGCAUAUUAUUCCCCACAACUUGUUGAGCGAUGAACGUAUGUGAGCUCACUCUUGCUGUCUCACACCCCCCCACAGGUCAAGAACAGGUACCACAGGAUGAGGCGCAUGGAGGAUGCUGCGAUGUGUUCGUGAGAGGUCUAGGCCGUCGUCUCCCAGUCAACUUUGGGUUGCUGGACCGUUGUCUCCUUAUAAUGUAAUUAUUUAUUUAUUUUGUAUAGAACUCCUGUUAUAUAGUAAAGAUGUGACAUUCGAUCCUGUGCCAUGAUUCAUCAUAUGUGUGAGACUUGGUCCCAGCACACCUGGUGAUUAUGUUCGCGCCCGGGUCUUAGUGCCCGUGAAAUCCGGGUGUGACAGAAGUGGUAUCAGAGGAAUGUUGACUGUAGGACGAAACCUAGAUAGAACUGGACAACCAUUCUCUACUUACCUUUGCUACUCUGAUUCUUUUCUAAACUUUUCUUAAUCUUUUCUCAUCUAUUUCCGCUUCACUCUGAUUAUUCUUACCUUUUCAUUCUAAAGACAAAUGUGGAUUUCACACUUUGAAGUCCUAUAUCUAAAGUGACUUUUAGGAGUAGGAGACCUAUUCUUAGGAACAAAAAAAACAAAAUUAUUUUUGUAGGUAUCUAUGUGCUUCAAUGUUUGUUCUUAUGAUACUUGUCUGAUUUGGAUCUUUGAUUGAGUGGGAUGAGUUGUGGAGUAAUGUCCACAAUUACAUCUACAUAUACAUAUAUGCAUAAAUGUAAAUAAAUAAAAUUCAUAAGAUAACUAAACAACCUAGAUUAUCCUGAUUAAAAUAUAUCUAGCCUAAUAGCUCCAUCUUAUCUUGAAAAGAUUUUAUCUCAUCCUAAAAGAUCUAACUAACCUCAAAAGAUUCUACCUUAUCCUUAUGGAUCCAUCUUGCCCUAAUCAGCAAUUUUAUCUCACUCUAGAAUAACCACCAUAAGCUAAUCCAAAAAAAAUUUAUUUAGAUUUUAACUAGUCUAAUCUAGUCAUAUCCAAUCUAAUCUAGCUUUUAUCUAAUCUAUUAUGAUCUAAUCUAGAGUAAGUUACUUAAUGCUGAUACAAAAGAUAAGGUCAUACCCAACAACUUGACUUACAUAACAGAUCUAUCUUAGCCUCUUGUCCCAAACCCGGAUGGAGACACCAAAGAGCAAGAAGGAGGAGAUCAACCUCGACAUGGAAGAAUAGGAGUCAAAUCAGAUCUCGAGAUGAUUCAAGAUUUACCACCUUCGAUGGGGUCUUCCCUUACUAAGUUCUUCUUACCAUCAGCUAACCUCACUUUGACCAUCUCUCUUCUUACCUAACUGUGUGUAUAAACUAGAAGAUAUCCAUGCAUUUCUAAGUACUUGCUAAAUUGUAUUUUUUAAAAAAAACAGAGACUCUUAAUUUUUGAAUCAAUUAGAAAAUACAACCUCGAUUACAAACCAAUCUUGGUAUAAUCUUUUUUUUCUUACAAAUCUCGAGGACGAGAUUCUUUUUAAGGGGGGUAGGAUUUGUAAUACCCAAAUUGCAAGAGUAGUGAAAUGUCCAAGAAUUGAGAAAUAUAAAGGGUUCAAUUGACCACUUGUGUUAUUAUUCUCAUAUUUGCAUAUUUCAAAUCAUGGAAUUAUCCUUGGCUAACAAUAAAUAUACUAAAUAAAAAGAAUAUGCAUCAUGUUGGAGUUUUAUAUGUUUGCACAUUAAAUAAAAUAAUAAGAAUAAUAACAAUGAGAUAAUAAUUCUAAAGGUUGGAUCAAACCCUAAAUGGAAAUUAGAGUUUGGGAAAAAAAGAGAAGGGAUAUAAAAAAAGUAUAUAAAUAAUAUAUAUAUAAAUAAAUAUAUUCAGAAUUAAUAUCCCUAAUUUCACAAAUAUAAGUAGAAGUGGUGAGCCAUAGAAGUUUGAAUUUAAAUUUGAAUUCAAAUUUAACUUGGAAAUGGAGAAAAGAAAAUAGAAAAUAAAAUGGAAAAAAAGAUUAAAACCCUAACUGGGCCCUGAUCUCCAUUUCGGCCCAUUUGCUUCAUAGCCCUGCGCAGCCCACCUCUCCUCCCACGCGGUCGAUCACUUCCAUGUGGGGCCCCCUGGUCGGAUCCCACCCGCGCGCGCCUGCUUUGCUCCGCCGUUCCACUCACAUGUGGGACCCCCUUGUCAGCGCUUUCCUCUCCCUCGCGACCGCACGAACCCGCCGCGAGCUCUGCACGCUUCGCGGGCGCCGUUCCAACCACUAUCCCGACUUCUUCUCCCUCGGCGCGGACUCGCUAGUCCAUAUGGUGCGUGCGCAGGCCCCUUUCCUCCCCCGUAUUCCACUCCCCGAGCCGGUUCAUCAGGAAGCCCUCCAUCAACCCACCUGAUUCGCAGAGAGAAAGAACGCCGGGAGAGAGAGAGAUUGAGGAAGCGUCGCCGCCAGGGGACCAUGUCCCUGUUGCCGUUCGAAGAGCGACCUUGGCCCUGGGGUGAUUCAACUCGCUCCUAGGGUUGUGUCCGUGGCCUUCCCUGAUGGGGAGACACAUCUGGCUCACUAGAAUAUCGUGCCGAAGACCCAGCGCCGCCGCGGACCGCCUAGUGCCGUGGACGAACGCUAUCCUUGACGUUCGGAGUUCGGCUGCCGGACGGGGGAGAGUACGAGAUCGUAUCGAUGCUCGUCGUGAUGUCUUCGGGCGAUGAUGGCCACCUGCUCUGGCCUGAGUGCUCGCCGUCGACAGCGCACAACCAUGAUCCCACUGGGCAUCGCGGCCGGCUUCACCUGUGUGCCAAACCUCGGUAAGAAGCCUUCCACUAAACUCGAUUUCGCCCUCAUUACGCGUAGCACCCAAACAGACUCGAUUUUGUGCGCCGGUGCCUCGGGUUGCCUGCACUCCGGCGAGCUUUGCCGCAUGGGGGCAUGGCACCGUCGCCCAGCGCUGUAACGAGGAAGAUGGCUCUCUAUCCGUAGAAUUUGAUGUCAACGGUUAAGAUCGAAUCCAUCCAUGCCGAUGCGUCGAGGGAAGCUAAGCCGUCGGAUGUUAAACGGAGGGGUAAGAUUAGAUCUCGGGGGAAGAUUACCUCAGGGUCGUCCGAUUCUUGUUCAACGGUAGAGAUUAGUUUAGGAGUACCUUUUCGUGGGAUCGGAUCGUGUCCACAGAUUGGUGGAUGUGCGGUGUAGAUCAGACCACGCCUUAAUUGUGUCUGCGCCGUCGAUGUUUGAUCUGACAGCCAGGAUUGCAUACCGUUUUCGGUGCACUCCAGAUCUAAUCCGUGCCCUCGGCUGGUGAUCCAAUGGCUGAGGUUUGCAGAUACCCCUUCGACCGAACGAUUUUGCAGAGAGGCCCUUAAAGUUUUUAGGAAUCAACCCGCCGUCCAUCUGGCUUGAUUCUGAGUCUUAGGACUUUUAUGCGUUAGACCCCUGAACUUCUCUGAAAUUAGUGUCCAGUCCAGUCAGUGAAUAAAACUUGUAAAAUCAUUUAUAAAAUGAUUUUUAUGUAAAAAUAAUUAUUAAAACUUGUUUAAAUCAUAUAAAAUUCAUAUUAAGUCCAAAUGAGUUCAUUUUAAUCUCUAUAAUUUUGUAAUAUUAUUGUUCAUCAUUUAGUAUCACUGUUUUCACAUGAAAGUCACAUUAAAAUUUAUAUCCUAUUUAAUCUUGUACAAAACACAUAAAAUCACUAGAAAUUCAUAACUUAAAAUCUAUGAUUCCGAUUUGACCCGUUUAAGUUGCGUUAGUCUCGUACAAAUAUUUACUACGCAUUAGCAACAUUUACUAUAUCAUGUCUCAUUCUUUUAUAAUUAGGUCUUUAUUUAACUGAUGUUGGUUAGCCUGCAUAAACUGCUUAUCAUUAUAUGAUUUAUGACUUAGAUUUAAAUUGAGACAAUUAUUUAUAAAAUAACGUCUCAUAAGAUUUAUACUAAUCAAUUUAUAAUAUAGUUUUAUAUCUUAAUCACAUAAAUCCUCUGUAAAAUUAUAACUCCUUAACCAUGACUCUGAUCUUAGUAGUUAUCGAUCCCGCGAUCUCGUAGCAACGCGUAGAUUAUUAUUAUUCAGUUUGUUCUUAUGUUUGGUGUGAUGUUAAUUUUGCCUAUACCAUGUCUGUGUGUAUUGCUACGACUAGCGUGAGGUCACGAGUCACCUGAAGAGCAAGUUGGUACCUGGAAUCUCAAGUGCCAGGCAAGUUGUGCCCUUGAUCACUUCUUUUACCCACUCAUGUUCUAAUUAAUCAUAAUGAUCUGCAUAGGUUAAUUUUGAUGGGACCUAAUAGGUUACCCUAGUUUGUCUAUCUUUAUGCCUUGUUUACCACUGAACUUUUUGGGUAGUACUUGCUAGUGCUAUAUGUGGUUUUGGGCAUUGAGAUACACAUUAUUCAUGAUUAUACUUUUGUUAUCCGUUGUUAUUUACUGUUCAUGUCAAGAUCAUUAAUGUUAAUUGGAACAUAGAGCUUAACUUGAGAAACACGUGCCACCACAAGGGUUUAAUGGGACGCCCUUGGCCGAUUAAUUAGGAAAGCUAGUGGAAGACUACCUUACCUGAAAGGGGCAAGGGCAGUAGGGGAGUGGUCAGUGUAGGGAGGCCCUCGGGAGGAUUUUGCUGCGAUGGCGGUCCUGCAAGGGAUUCCUGCAUUGGAGCUUCCUAUAAACUGUAGCGGGUUUUCUGAAGCUAGUGGAACUUUGUAAAGGCCUCGUAGUGUUACCUUGCCUCGCCUCCUCGGUAGAGGUGUAUGGGAAGUCGCGAUCCCUUGGCAGAUGGGUAACAUGACUUGUGGGUAAAGGGUACCACCUCUGCAGAGUGUAAAACUGGUAUACUAGCCGAGCUCACGGUCAUGAGCAGCUCAGGACUCUCUGAUGAUUAACUUAUGGAACUAAAUUCAAUUUGUCAUAUGCAUUGCAUCGCAGGUGAUGUUGUUACUUCUGUUCUACUAUUUAAUUGGGUUGGUAUUUACUUAUACUUAGUAAUUGCUAAUAAAAUUUUGACCAACUUUAAAAGCAAUGCUCAGCUUCAACCAUUUCCGUUGGUAAGCCUUACACUUCACAUGAGCUCCCACCUUUGGCGAGUUCAUGCACAUUAUUCCCCACAACUUGUUGAGCGAUGAACGUAUGUGAGCUCACUCUUGCUGUCUCACACCCCCCCACAGGUCAAGAACAGGUACCAUAGGAUGAGGCACAUGGAGGAUGCUGCGAUAUGUUCGUGAGAGGUCUAGGCCGUCGUCUCUCAGUCAACUUUGGGUUGCUGGACCGUUGUCU